Molecule: ribosomal RNA, 253 nt
Filed under: uncultured bacterium
Lineage: Bacteria
Description: partial 16S ribosomal RNA
Rfam family: Bacterial small subunit ribosomal RNA
Source: RNAcentral
UACAGAGGGUGCGAGCGUUAAUCGGAAUUACUGGGCGUAAAGCGUGCGUAGACGGUAGCGUAAGUCAGAUGUGAAAGCCCCGGGCUCAACCUGGGAAUUGCAUUUGAGACUGCUCUGCUCGGGUGCGGAAGAGGGAAGCGGAAUUUCCGGUGUAGCGGUGAAAUGCGUAGAUAUCGGAAGGAACACCUGUGGCGAAAGCGGCUCACUGGACCAUUACUGACGCUGAGGCACGAAAGCUAGGGGAGCAAACAGG